CCUACGGGCGUCAGCAGUGAGGAAUAUUGGUCAAUGGGCGCGAGCCUGAACCAGCCAAGUCGCGUGAGGGAAGACGGUCCUAUGGAUUGUAAACCUCUUUUGUCGGGGAGCAAAUGACGCCACGCGUGGCGUUACGAGAGUACCCGAAGAAAAAGCAUCGGCUAACUCCGUGCCAGCAGCCGCGGUAAUACGGAGGAUGCGAGCGUUAUCCGGAUUUAUUGGGUGUAAAGGGUGAGCAGGCGGAAGAUCAAGUCAGCGGGAAAAGUGAGAGGCUCAACCUCUUCGAGCCGUUGAAACUGGUUGUCUAGAGUGAGCGAGAAGUAUGCGGAAUGCGUGGUGUAGCGGUGAAAUGCGUAGAUAUCACGCAGAACACCGAUUGCGAAGGCAGCAUACCGGCGCUCAACUGACGCUCAUGCACGAAGGUGUGGGUAUCGAACAGGAUUAGAUACCCCAGUAGUC
Molecule: ribosomal RNA, 459 nt
Filed under: uncultured bacterium
Lineage: Bacteria
Description: partial 16S ribosomal RNA
Rfam family: Bacterial small subunit ribosomal RNA
Source: RNAcentral